Molecule: ribosomal RNA, 439 nt
Filed under: uncultured bacterium
Lineage: Bacteria
Description: partial 16S ribosomal RNA
Rfam family: Bacterial small subunit ribosomal RNA
Source: RNAcentral
CUACGGGGUGCAGCAGUGGGGAAUAUUGCACAAUGGAGGAAACUCUGAUGCAGCAACGCCGCGUGGAGGAUGACACUUUUCGGAGCGUAAACUCCUUUUAUAUAGGAAGAAGAUGACGGUACUAUAUGAAUAAGCGCCGGCUAACUCCGUGCCAGCAGCCGCGGUAAUACGGAGGGCGCAAGCGUUACUCGGAAUCACUGGGCGUAAAGAGCGUGUAGGCGGAUUAAAAAGUCAGAAGUGAAAUCCUAUAGCUUAACUAUAGAACUGCUUCUGAAACUCUUAAUCUAGAAUGUGGGAGAGGGAGAUGGAAUUUCUGGUGUAGGGGUAAAAUCCGUAGAGAUCAGAAGGAAUACCGAUUGCGAAGGCGAUCUACUAGAACAUUAUUGACGCUGAGAUGCGAAAGCGUGGGGAGCAAACAGGAUUAGAUACCCGUGUAGUC